UAACGCGCUUCUCGAAGUAUCAUUUAUAAAGACCAGAGCAACAUAUCAGCGACACAUCUUGAUAGUCCAUUCUCCUAAAACGAUGUCUGGUAACGUGGCUAACUGUAAUUCAAAUCCAGUAGAGUACGCUUCUUCUGACGAGUUUCAAGCAUCCAAUGUACAGAAAAUAAUAAGCGAUUUUGUGAAAGACCUAAGAAGUAUAUCCGGGAAAUGUAUGGAUGUCGGUUGCGGUCCUGGAGACAUAACACGUAAUGUUAUCUUGCCAAAUCUUCAUCCGAAUGCGGUAAUAAUUGGUACGGACAUUUCCGCGACCAUGAUUGAAUAUGCGAAAAAAGCAUACAGUGACAAUAAACGCCUCGAAUUUGAAGUACUGGAUAUUGAAACUGAAAGUUUACCUGAAAAAUACAUUUCUAAGCUUGAUUGUAUAUUUUCAUUUCACUCCUUGCAAUGGUGCAAUGAUAUCAGAAAAGCUUUUGAGAAUAUGUACCGUAUGCUUAAACCUGGUGGGAAUAUCCUCGUACAAUUUAUAGCAAAUAGUACUGCAUUAGAAGUGAAUAAGAAGCUAACACAGGAUGUCCGUUUUGCAUCUUACAUGCAGUACGACCACAAGAAGAGCUAGAACAGUUACUUAAAGAAAUCGGAUUUAGCGUUGAACAUUGCAGUCUUCUUGAAGUAGAUAGUUCCAACAUAAAUCUGGCCAUGUAUAUAUCUUCGAUAAUGAAUAUUUUUCCAUCUUUGGAUGAGAUGCCUCAUGAUAAAAAGGAAGAAUUUAAGGUCGAAUAUUCACG
RNAcentral lists this unclassified non-coding RNA (788 nucleotides) under Monomorium pharaonis (pharaoh ant). RNAcentral describes it as "juvenile hormone acid O-methyltransferase, transcript variant X1". The record is from RNAcentral. Lineage: Eukaryota; Metazoa; Arthropoda; Insecta; Hymenoptera; Formicidae.